UACGGAGGGUGCAAGCGUUAUCCGGAUUCACUGGGUUUAAAGGGUGCGUAGGUAGGCAGGUAAGUCAGUGGUGAAAUCUCUGGGCUUAACCCAGAAACUGCCGUUGAUACUAUCUGUCUUGAAUGUAGUGGAGGUGAGCGGAAUAUGUCAUGUAGCGGUGAAAUGCUUAGAUAUGACAUAGAACACCCAUUGCGAAGGCAGCUCGCUACACUAUUAUUGACACUGAGGCACGAAAGCGUGGGGAUCAAGCAGG
This 253-nucleotide ribosomal RNA is filed under the name uncultured bacterium. RNAcentral describes it as "partial 16S ribosomal RNA". It matches the Rfam family "Bacterial small subunit ribosomal RNA", at positions 524 to 776 of the family's 1533-position model. The record is from RNAcentral.